GUUAAUUAGAGUUUGAUGAUGGCUCUGAAUGAACGCUAUCCAAAUGCUUGACACAUGCUAAUCGAACGUCUAAUUAAAUAUAAAUUUAAUAAUUAUUAAAUUUAUAUUUAAUAUGAAGUGGUGUACAGGUGAGUAAAAGGUAUUCUAACUACCUUAAAGUAAGGAAGAAAAAAUCCCUUAUAAUUCAAAAAAGAAAAAUAAAAAUUCGCUUUAAGAUGUUAGUAAAUAUCCCGGAGGAGUAGUAGAGAAAAUCUAGCUCAAGAUCCGGUAGUCGAGACUGAAAGGUCGAUCGACCACACUGGGCCUGAAAAAAGCCCAGGGCAUAAUUGCACAGCAGUGGGGAAUAUUGGUCAAUAGCCAAACGGCUGAACCAGCAACUUGGAAGAACGAAAAAUGAUUAAGUCAUAUAAAGUUCUAGAUAAAAUAAAGAGAAUGACUAUUUUUUAUCUAUAAGUCUUGACCAAAUUACGUGCCAGCAGUCGCGGUAAUACGUAGAAGACUAGUGUUAUUCAUCUUUAAUCGGUAUAAAGGGUACCUAGACAGAAUACCAAGCUAUUUUAGGAACUAGUAUUCUAGAGUUUUAUGUAGGAAUAUACGAAUUACCAGAGGAGAGUCAAAAUUUUAUGAUACUGGUAGGACGGGUAACGGCGAAGGCUAUAUUCUAAGUAAAAACUGACGUUGAGGGACGAAGCCUUGGGCAGCGAUAAGGAUUAGAUACCCUAGUAGUCCUUGGAGACAAUGAUGAGUGCCAUAAACUAGAAUGAUUUAGUUUAUAAACGAAAGUGUAAGCACUCCACCUCAUGACUAAGGCGGAAAUGCACAAAUUGAAAUCAUUAGACCGUUUCUGAAACCAGUAGUGAAGUAUGUUAUUUAAUUCGAUGAUCCGCGAAUAACCUUACCACGUUUUGAAUAAUAUUAUAAAUAUUACAAGCGCUGCACGGCUGUCUUCAGUUAAUGUCGUGAGAUUUUGGUUAAUUCCUUUAAUUAACGAAAACCCUUGCUUUACUUGUUUUUAAAGUAUUUUUCCAUAAAGGGAAAAAGUAAUAGGGACCAAGACAAGUCAUCAUGGCCUUAAUAACGUGGGCUAUAGACGUGCCACAUAUACCUCUACAAAGGGAUGCAAUAUUGCAAAAUGGAGCUAAUCCCAUAAAAUUGGAUAUAACUAAUCGUGAAUUGUAGUCUGAAAUUCGACUACAUGAAUACGGAAUUACUAGUAAUCGUGAAUCACCACGUCACGGUGAAUUUUAUCUCAGAUGGGUACUAACUACUCGUCAGGCGCUGAAAGAAGUGUGCGCAAUAAGUUUGGUUGCAUAUCUUUUCUUUUUUUACUUAAAUAGUUGUAAAUUUCUAGAUAUGCGAUUUUCGUAUGCGUGACUUCGAUUGGUGUUAAGUCGAAAUAUGGUUCGUGUAAUGGAAAUUGCACGGGAUGUAUUAUCCUU
This 1439-nucleotide ribosomal RNA is filed under the name Exophiala dermatitidis NIH/UT8656. RNAcentral's name for it is "Bacterial small subunit ribosomal RNA". It matches the Rfam family "Bacterial small subunit ribosomal RNA". Lineage: Eukaryota; Fungi; Ascomycota; Eurotiomycetes; Chaetothyriales; Herpotrichiellaceae. The record is from Rfam by way of RNAcentral.